This 492-nucleotide ribosomal RNA is filed under the name uncultured bacterium. Its description in RNAcentral is "partial 16S ribosomal RNA". It matches the Rfam family "Bacterial small subunit ribosomal RNA", at positions 29 to 507 of the family's 1533-position model. The record is from RNAcentral.
AGUGAACGCUGGCGGUAGGCCUAACACAUGCAAGUCGAACGGCAGCACAGUAAGAGCUUGCUCUUACGGGUGGCGAGUGGCGGACGGGUGAGGAAUACAUCGGAAUCUACUUUUUCGUGGGGGAUAACGUAGGGAAACUUACGCUAAUACCGCAUACGACCUACGGGUGAAAGCAGGGGAUCUUCGGACCUUGCGCGAUUGAAUGAGCCGAUGUCGGAUUAGCUAGUUGGCGGGGUAAAGGCCCACCAAGGCGACGAUCCGUAGCUGGUCUGAGAGGAUGAUCAGCCACACUGGAACUGAGACACGGUCCAGACUCCUACGGGAGGCGGAAGUGGGGAAUAUUGGACAAUGGGCGCAAGCCUGAUCCAGCCAUACCGCGUGGGUGAAGAAGGCCUUCGGGUUGUAAAGCCCUUUUGUUGGGAAAGAAAAGCAGCAGGUUAAUACCCCGCUGUUCUGACGGUACCCAAAGAAUAAGCACCGGCUAACUUCGUG